This 591-nucleotide ribosomal RNA is filed under the name uncultured prokaryote. Its description in RNAcentral is "bacterial SSU rRNA". The stretch from base 1 to 499 matches the Rfam family "Bacterial small subunit ribosomal RNA", at positions 43 to 541 of the family's 1533-position model. The record is from RNAcentral.
CGUGCCUAACACAUGCAAGUCGAGCGGAAAUUUAUUUGGUGCUUGCACAUCUUAUUUUAGCGGCGGACGGGUGAGUAACGUGUGGGUAACCUGCCUUAUACUGUGGAAUAAUCAUGAGAAAUCGUGACUAAUACCGCAUGUCAUCCUUUUAUCGCAUGAUGAGAGGAGAAAAGGAUUUAUUCGGUAUAAGAUGGACCCGCAUCUGAUUAGCUAGUUGGUGAGAUAAUAGCUCACCAAGGCAACGAUCAGUAGCCGACCUGAGAGGGUGAUCGGCCACAUUGGGACUGAGACACGGCCCAGACUCCUACGGGAGGCAGCAGUAGGGAAUCUUCCACAAUGGACGAAAGUCUGAUGGAGCAACGCCGCGUGAGUGAAGAAGGAUCUCGGUUCGUAAACUCUGUUGCAGGGAAGAACAGUAGCGUAGUACUGGCGCUACUUGACGGUACUUGUUAGAAGCACGGCUACUACGUGCAGCAGCGCGGUAUACGUAGUGCAGCGUGCCGAAUAUGGCGUAGCGCGCGCAGUGUCUUAGUCUGAUGUGAAGCCCGCUCACCGGAGGCAUGAACUGGGACUGAUGCAAAGAUNUGAUCA